Molecule: small nuclear RNA, 19 nt
Filed under: Arabidopsis thaliana (thale cress)
Lineage: Eukaryota; Viridiplantae; Streptophyta; Magnoliopsida; Brassicales; Brassicaceae
Description: snRNA_14023
Source: RNAcentral
ACAUGACAUCGAUGAAGUA